Molecule: ribosomal RNA, 253 nt
Filed under: uncultured bacterium
Lineage: Bacteria
Description: partial 16S ribosomal RNA
Rfam family: Bacterial small subunit ribosomal RNA
Source: RNAcentral
UACAGAGGGGGCAAGCGUUAUUCGGAAUUAUUGGGCGUAAAGGGCGCGUAGGCGGCCUGGCAAGUGGAUGGUGAAAUCCCUCGGCUUAACCGAGGAACUGCCAUCCAGACUGCUUGGCUUGAGACCGGGAGAGGUGAGUGGAAUUCCCAGUGUAGCGGUGAAAUGCGUAGAUAUCGGGAGGAACACCUGUGGCGAAAGCGGCUCACUGGACCACAACUGACGCUGAGGCGCGAAAGCUAGGGGAGCAAACAGG